GCCUACGGGGGGCAGCAGUGGGGAAUAUUGCACAAUGGGGGAAACCCUGAUGCAGCGACGCCGCGUGGAGGAAGAAGGUCUUCGGAUUGUAAACUCCUGUCCUUGGGGACGAUAAUGACGGUACCCAAGGAGGAAGCACCGGCUAACUCCGUGCCAGCAGCCGCGGUAAUACGGAGGGUGCAAGCGUUACUCGGAAUCACUGGGCGUAAAGAGCGCGUAGGCGGGAUAGCAAGUCAGAUGUGAAAUCCUAUGGCUUAACCAUAGAACUGCAUUUGAAACUGUGUUUCUUGAGUGCUGGAGAGGCA
RNAcentral lists this ribosomal RNA (305 nucleotides) under uncultured bacterium. Its description in RNAcentral is "bacterial SSU rRNA". It matches the Rfam family "Bacterial small subunit ribosomal RNA", at positions 337 to 659 of the family's 1533-position model. The record is from RNAcentral.